This 254-nucleotide non-coding RNA is filed under the name Lachnospiraceae bacterium. RNAcentral describes it as "T-box sequence". It matches the Rfam family "T-box leader". From Rfam's summary of the family: Uncharged tRNA acts as the effector for transcription antitermination of genes in the T-box leader family. T-boxes are found upstream of many aminoacyl-tRNA synthetase genes and some amino acid biosynthetic genes usually in Gram-positive bacteria. The record is from RNAcentral. Lineage: Bacteria; Bacillati; Bacillota; Clostridia; Lachnospirales; Lachnospiraceae.
UGAAAAGCGUUGAAGACGAGGGCAUGGCCCACAGUAGAUUAUUAUUUUCCUUCAGAGAGAAGAAGUCACCGGCUGUAAGCUUCUUUAGGUUCAGGUAAUUGUUGAAUUUCCCGUUGGAGCUGCUUGGUAGAAAUAUCAAGACGUGUCUACGCGUUAAGUAGUUAAGUGCCUAUAAGAAAGGUCAUAAGUUUAUGUAUACCUAUAUCUUAUGGGAAAUUGGGUGGUACCGCGGAUUAAUUUAUUUCGUCCCUAUG